This 678-nucleotide ribosomal RNA is filed under the name Arthrobacter sp. C-23. RNAcentral describes it as "bacterial SSU rRNA". It matches the Rfam family "Bacterial small subunit ribosomal RNA", at positions 8 to 699 of the family's 1533-position model. The record is from RNAcentral. Lineage: Bacteria; Bacillati; Actinomycetota; Actinomycetes; Micrococcales; Micrococcaceae.
AGAGUUUGAUCCUGGCUCAGGACGAACGCUGGCGGCGUGCUUAACACAUGCAAGUCGAACGAUGAUCCGGUGCUUGCACCGGGGAUUAGUGGCGAACGGGUGAGUAACACGUGAGUAACCUGCCCUUGACUCUGGGAUAAGCCUGGGAAACCGGGUCUAAUACCGGAUAUGACCUGUCACCGCAUGGUGGCGGGUGGAAAGAUUUUUUGGUCUUGGAUGGACUCGCGGCCUAUCAGCUUGUUGGUGGGGUAAUGGCCUACCAAGGCGACGACGGGUAGCCGGCCUGAGAGGGUGACCGGCCACACUGGGACUGAGACACGGCCCAGACUCCUACGGGAGGCAGCAGUGGGGAAUAUUGCACAAUGGGCGAAAGCCUGAUGCAGCGACGCCGCGUGAGGGAUGAAUGCCUUCGGGUUGUAAACCUCUUUCAGCAGGGAAGAAGCGAAAGUGACGGUACCUGCAGAAGAAGCGCCGGCUAACUACGUGCCAGCAGCCGCGGUAAUACGUAGGGCGCAAGCGUUGUCCGGAAUUAUUGGGCGUAAAGAGCUCGUAGGCGGUUUGUCGCGUCUGCUGUGAAAGCCCGGGGCUCAACCCCGGGUCUGCAGUGGGUACGGGCAGACUAGAGUGCAGUAGGGGAGACUGGAAUUCCUGGUGUAGCGGUGAAAUGCGCAGAUAUCA